ACCCUGAGAGUUUUGGAGGGUUUUUGCAGAAACCACACACACACACGGAGACCCAAAAAUGGAGUUCGAGAAGCGAAAAGCGGCGACGCUGACGUCACUGAGAUCGGAGGUGACGGACAAGUCGCCGAAGGGCACGGUGGACACUCCGAUCAUUCCUCUCCUCGACGUCAUCAACGGCCACCGCGACUACUUCACCACCAGCUCCUGCUCCGGCCGAAUCUCCAUCCUCUCUCAGCCCGCUCGCCGGGUCUCCAAGAAGAAAGCCUCCGGCGGCGCGUGGCUUUACAUCUCUCACGACCCGGCCGAUCCCGACUCCGUCCUCGACCUCGUCUUCUGCACCUCCGAUCAGAAUGAGCCGGAGCUCCAAGACGACCAAAACGACGUCGUUUUCAGAUUCGAGCCUCUGAUUAUCGCCGUCGAGUGCAGGGACGUGGCGGCGGCGCAGGUUCUGGUGUCGAAAGCCAUAGCGUCCGGGUUCAGAGAGUCCGGCAUUACGAGUUCGAACAAGCGUGUGAUUAUCGCGAUUCGCUGCUCGAUACGAUUGGAGGUUCCGCUGGGGAGUAGUCGCGAGAUUAUGGUGUCUCGCGAGUAUUUGAGGUUCCUUGUGGGCGUGGCGAACGAGAAAUUCGAGGCCAACCGGAAGAGGACCGAGGCUUUUCUGGAGGCUCUGCAGAGUGGGGAGAGCGGAGGAGGGUUUGCGCUGGCUCCGGCUGGUGGAAAUUACGAGAAUGCCUCUUCCGGGUUGAAGGGAGAUAAUGGAUGCUCUAGUCUGUCUGUUGUUCCGACAGAGGUUUCCGGGGAGAAUGAGGAGAAUCUUUACCUCUGGGGUCAUUCGGCUUGCGCGUUGGAGAAGAAGGUGGAUAAUGGGAUUCUUGUGUUUGGUGGAUUCGGAGGCAUUGGAAGACAUGCGAGGAGAAAUCAGUGUUUGCUGGUUGAUGCAUUGUCUGGUAGUUUGAGAGGGAUUAGCAUAGAGAGUAGUCCUUCACCGAGAUUGGGCCACACGGCUUCUUUGGUUGGACAUUGUGUGUUUGUUAUUGGAGGCAGGGCUGAUCCUGAGAAAAUUCUGAGUGAUGUAUGGGUCCUCGAUAUACAGAAGAAGGAAUGGAAACUCGCCGAAUGUUCUGGUGAUGUAUUUCCUCCCAGGCAUCGACAUGCUGCAGCCGUGGUAGGAUCAAAGAUAUAUGUGUUUGGUGGACUUAACAAUGAUGCAGUCACAUCUUCCUUGCAUGUACUGGAUACAGAUAAUCUGCAGUGGAGAGAGAUAGUUGUCACUGGGGAAGGUCCGUGUGCCCGACAUUCACACUCAAUGGUGCCAUCGGGAUCUCAGCUAUAUAUGUUUGGAGGAUAUGAUGGUGAGGAAGCACUUGGAGACUUGUACAGGUUUGAUACUGAAAAAUCUAAAUGUAGAUGGAAAAAAGUGAAGGCGUCUGGGAGAAGUCCCCAUGCAAGGUUCUCGCACUCCAUGUUUGUGUACAAAAAUCAUCUUGGAGUUAUUGGUGGUUGUCCAGUUAGACAACAUUGCCAAGAGUUGGCAAUACUUGAUCUACGGCUGUGCAUGUGGAGGCAUGUGAAACUAGAAUCCACUGGUGAAGAUUUGUUUGUACGUAGCACUGCCAAUGUUGUUGGUGAUGAUCUUGUUAUGAUUGGUGGUGGGGCAUCUUGUUAUGCAUUUGGUACAAAGUUCAGUAAGCCAAUGAAAAUCAACUUGCUUCCCUUGAAGCUUAGAGAUGAUAAACCACUUGUCAGAGAACGGCAUACUGACCAAAUUGAUAUCGUGAGGAGCGAAAAGAGUAGACAUCCACAGGUUCAAAAUGUUAAAACAUUAACCGAAGCUCCUGACCUAAAUUUUAAGAGUGAAUUACCCAUGGCUGAUGGCAUUGGUCAACAGGUGGAUGCAUAUUGGGUUCUGAAACUUGAAAGAAAGUAUGCGAAAAUAGGGAAGGACAUACUAAAGAAGUUUGGUUGGUUAGAUCUUGCAAGGAAGGUUUACUCCUUGGAAGGUGGUUUACAUAUUUGUUUCCCUGUGAGUGCAAAAUUUUCUGAUGUAUUGAAAGAAAAUCAGCAUCAUAUGGCAAAUUCAUUUGAAGGACAGAGUGGUCACAUUUGUAAGCCAGAUAUAGGAAGGGAAUGUUUGAUUGAUGAGGUCACCUGUUCAAAAGCCUUAGACAUUCUAAAGGAAUGUGGUGCCAUGAAGCUGGUAGAUGAGGUUGUUGAAGUCAGAAAAACUGCAAAAUCUCCCUUGAAAAUAAUGAGUGAUGCCGUGGGGUCUCUGCUAGAGGAUAAAGGCCUACCUGCAGGACUGUUGGAGGAGCUACCAACCAGAUGGGAGCGACUUGGAGAUAUUGUUGUGCUUCCAGUGACAUCAUUCAAGAAUCCGUUAUGGGACUCAAUUGCUGAGGAGCUUUGGCCUGCUGUUGCCAAAUCAGUAAAUGCUGUUCGCCUUGCUCGCCAAGGCCGAGUUGCAUCAACUGGUACAAGGGACAGUACUUUGGAGAUUCUUAUAGGAGAUAAUGGCUGGGUUGAUCAUCGUGAAAAUGGAAUUCUCUAUUCUUUUGAUGCUACUAAGUGCAUGUUCUCCUGGGGCAACCUUUCUGAGAAGCUCCGCAUGGGCUCUCUGGAUUGUAGAGAUGAGAUCAUUGUGGAUUUAUUUGCUGGAAUUGGAUAUUUUAUGCUGCCAUUUCUUGUCAGGGCCAAGGCAAAACUAGUUUAUGCUUGUGAAUGGAAUCCUCAUGCUGUUGCGGCACUCCGGAGAAACGUACAAGCCAAUUCUGUCAGUGAUCGAUGCAUCAUUCUUGAAGGAGAUAACCGGACAACGGCACCUACAGGAGUGGCUGAUCGGGUCUGCCUUGGUCUCAUUCCGUCAAGUGAAUCUAGCUGGGCCACUGCUGUUAGGGCAUUAAGGGAUGAGGGUGGGAUGCUACAUGUGCAUGGGAAUGUGGUGGACUCAGAGGAGAAUUCAUGGACCAAUCACGUAACAGAAUCAAUAGCUGAAACUGCUAGAUCUCAAGGUCAUUGUUGGGAGGUUUCAAUAGAACAUUUGGAGAGAGUGAAAUGGUACGCCCCACACAUCCGCCACGUUGUUGCAGAUGUAAGAUGUAGACAGACCCAGAAAUAACAAAAUAGGCACUGGUCCUGAUCAGUUGGAGGCAACAAAUUAUUCAGGACCCAUCAAUUUUGUUAGGGAUGCCACAAUGCAGUAGACACGUCAAUGCUGGUGGGUGAGCUCCAUUCAUCAUCUCUGAGUUCAUGGCAUUCAUGCAUGGAGACACAUAGAUCGCUUGUACAGUUUCUCAACUCAAUGCAAAGUGUCGGUGGUCACAGAGCAACAGUCUCCUUGCAAAUUAGUUCGUUUACCAAAAGAUUUUAGUGGUAUUAGUAUUUUAACCUAUUCCUCAAUGAGCUGUGAUCUUUUAACUUUUUCCUUAAAUGGUAUUAGGCUAUUAGCAUUUUAUCCUAUUCCUUGUAUUUUUUUUUUGACGAUACUAUUCCUUGUAUUUGAAUUAUUCCU
Rosa rugosa (rugosa rose) is the source of this 3508-nucleotide RNA transcript. It is a transcript of the gene named tRNA wybutosine-synthesizing protein 2/3/4, with no coding region annotated. The record is from RefSeq and is a predicted model, not a curated record. The transcript is spliced from 10 exons. NCBI's taxonomy places the organism in Eukaryota, Viridiplantae, Streptophyta, Magnoliopsida, Rosales, Rosaceae.